GCCAAACACCCCCUAAUUUAUAUUUCCCCCAAAUGCCGCAAUCCAUGAAUUUCUUUCACAAAAAUUACAAGCUCCCUCUACUUCUUGGGUCUUCUUCACUCGGCCGCUUUCUCUAGUUAUGCGGCGCCCCUUGCAAAUCGACAUGCUUAUUCAUCGAUGGUGACUCAACGACACCUGUACUACCGUCUACAUCGUCUGACCUAUAGUUGUCGUCAUGUUAUUCGACUAUCCCCUCAUGUUAAAGGAGGAAUCCUAAAAUAUUGCCCACAUGGAGUCAAAAGUCAGAAGUCAACAGCAAAUUUGUGGUUAUGGUUAUGAAUAUGAACACAUUGAUGGUUAGCAUAUGGGAUCUUGUUAUAGGUACAUGACUAUGUGCAUCAAAUUGCUAGUUGGGAUAGUUUGUUGGGUUGAGGGUUAAUACGUAUUCGGCGAGGGAGAUUCAUUUGGGCCAUUUAUGUAUUGUUGGAAUUCUGUCACAAUAGUUGGGCUGUUUUAGCCAUUCAUGUGGACGGAAUUUUUUCGUCAAUUUGGAGAAUAGGGGCCCAUUAGAGAUUGUUUAUUUGACUAUGGGCAGGGCAGGAAAUGUUAAUUUGGAUAUGAGCCUAUUUUAUGUUUAGGUUAGGUGUUUGGACUGAAAGUGUUAUGUGGAAGUUUGAUGGAUUUGGGCUUAACAUUGCAACCCAUAAUUGGGGAGUUGGGGUGUUAGGCUCAUGAUAACAGGCUUAACCAGAGUACACCAUGACCAUCCUAUGGACCAAGUGUUUGAUGGUAGAUCAUUAAUAAAGGGGAGUGUUUCGGCUUGGGCAUGGCAAGUAUUGUAUCAUAGUUGGAUGCGGCCGAUGGAGUUGAUGCUGAAUAAAGAAUUGAAUGGGCCGCUAGUGCAAAGGUUUAAACUUGGGCCCAAAAUUAUGUACAGGGAAUUGUACUAUGUAUUUUGAUGAAUAUAUUAUGUACAUUUGAAUUUA
Helianthus annuus (common sunflower) is the source of this 965-nucleotide long non-coding RNA. RefSeq lists it as uncharacterized. Lineage: Eukaryota; Viridiplantae; Streptophyta; Magnoliopsida; Asterales; Asteraceae. The transcript has 2 exons. The record is from RefSeq and is a predicted model, not a curated record.